Dromaius novaehollandiae (emu) is the source of this 3120-nucleotide long non-coding RNA. RefSeq lists it as uncharacterized. The record is from RefSeq and is a predicted model, not a curated record. The transcript is spliced from 3 exons. NCBI's taxonomy places the organism in Eukaryota, Metazoa, Chordata, Aves, Casuariiformes, Dromaiidae.
GUCCCAGCCCUGCACAUGACUGAAUUUGCUUCUGUCCAUCAUCUGGGUCAUAUAUAGUUCAAUUCAAGUGAAGCAGACAGGGCUGCGAGGAAAUCUGGAGCCGCUCAAUACUGCGUCCAGCCUGCUCGCGAGCUUCUGCUGCUCCGGGACAAACUCAGGGCUGCGUUUCCCCGCGGCGGCCCGGAGCGCCGUCUCGACGCCAGCGCGCUUCGCGGGGAGCUGCUCGCCUGCCCGCGCCAGCCACAACUUUUUGGACAAAGCUCCAACUGCAAAAACCUUUCCCCUAACAGUUCAGGACUACUCCGUUUGUCUCGCUAGCUUCUACUCCAAAAAGAUGGCAAGAAAAAGUUUUUCCAGGUGGUUGUUCAUGCUGGGCAGAAUUUCCCAGCCCGCUGGAUGCCAGGCUGCUCGACUCUGAAAGGAAUAGAAGAAAGUCUGACCCGUGGCGUACGCUGAUUCUGUGGUUCGACGAUGCCCACUCAUGCUGUCAGCUGCAUGGACAUGGACAACACCAGAAGAGUCACCCGCAAGCUUCUCGCGGGAUGUGGGACACGACUUCUCAACAGCUCGGACGUCAGACAAGCAAGCAGAGGCAGCAGAGGGAUGAAGUAAUAGGAUCAAGCGUAUUUUGUGCUGUUUGCCUACCCAAAAGAUAGGUGGGGAGCAUCGCCUCAAACACAGCCAGUGUGAGAAACAUUUUAGGGUAAAGUGAAUCUGCUUGGAAUCGAGCGGUUCGAGAGGCAACAUGACUCAUCCCCAUCCCUUUCUCCACCCAGUAAGACGUUCUUGCUGCCCAAGGGUCACUCAGCUUAACCGAGCAGUCGCCGAGAACUGGACUGCCUUAAAGCGCUGGCACGGAGAAAGCUUUCUGAAGACCCAAGAUCAAGAGGGAAGGGGAUACGAACUGUAGAGAUACAAAUAAACUACACAAUCUACUGAGAAACAGAAGUGGUGCUGCCCCCCCUCCUCUCGCUUUUGUUGGUUUGCAGUUGUGGGAUGUGUUGCCACCCCCCGCUUUUUUUCUUUUUUUAAAUGAACUUUAGAAAGAAAUCUGAAACAUUUUUAAAACUUUUCCUGUAGCUAUUUAGAAUAUUUAUAUCCACAAGAGAAAAGGCUUUUUCACAGCUAUAACGCAGGUACGUUCAAAGCUGGUUUAAGAAACAUUAAGUCAAUUCAGCAUCAGUAACUGUAGUCUUACACUUCUGCAAUUCAUUAGCCAUCAUGGUUCCAUUUCAUAAUUAAAAUACUUUCAGUUUAAGAGUGUACAACAAAGAAUGUGCAGCCCUCAGCAGUGUUUCCACUGUUAGUCUAUGGAAAACAUAUGCAUGGAAAGUAUGUACAGCGCACGUAUACAGCCAUCGUCGGAUAGCUUCAGUGAACAUUCAACGCUGUCGGUGAGUUUGAGAACUAGAAAAAACCAUCGACCGUUGACUGUACCUUGAGGUUUAUCACAAACCCUCUGUUAAAUGGAAAGCUUGAACCUUCGUAAUGUUUCACACGUGGUUGCUAUUAACAGGUCACGGUUUACAGAUUAUAUUAAGAGCAAAGCAGCUAGUUGAGUUUUCUUAGUUCUGCCUUCUCCCAAAAAGAAUUGGUAUAUAAGAAAUGGUUGUUUUCUAUUUAAGAAAAAAAUUGAUAUAAAGUAAGCAUAAUUCCUGCAAAACAAAGCAUCUGAGUGUAAUGGAAGGUUCUGUAUGAACAGCACAAAAGCAAUGAUGUAUCCACAAGCAUAUGGUAAACUUAGAAGCAAAUCUGAGUAUGGUAUAGGUUCAACGUAGCAGGAUACGGACCAGAUCAGGAUGGAAACCUCCCUUCCAUUUGGGCUGGCGACUCGAGCUUUGCCAGCAGCAGCUCUGCCACGCCAGCGCCCGUGCUGCGGGGGACCCUCGCGCAGUUUCCAGCAGUGGCUCGCCGGCAGCGCCAGCCCCAGCCCCGGCCCCGCAGCACGGCCAGCUGUCCCACGCCUCCCGCUAGCACCUGCAGCGAGAAAACACCCGUCCCUGCCACCGAGCGCAGCGCGAGCGGCACGGGCACCUCUGCCGCGGCUCUCCAGCACCCUCGCGAGCAGUUGGGGUAGGCUGCAACGCAGCAGGCUUCAACAGCAGGUGCAAGUGCACUUUGCAGAGCCACCAAGACUUUAAGCAGCCCUGAAAUAUGUCCUGAGAUUGAGAUGACGAGAGUACCAUUUAUGCCCUGCGAAAGCACACAAACAGCUGAGUUGCAUGGAGAAACAGCACCGCACAUCUUAAGCACCUAAUGGCUGCAAUCAACAUUCAUUGCUGUCGGUGGGUUUUUGUUUCUAUCAACUCACUGAUCAAUGAAUGCAAACUGCGGACCAGCUAGCUAAGAGCCUGCGCGUUUGGACAAGCUGAGCCUUGCGGGGGGUCAGCAAGAAAAGUGACUUACGCUUCUUGUUGAAUAAGCGCUGGAUUCAAGUUCUGCCUAGCAAUAAGUGUGUACAGGGCAGGUCUGUGGCUCUGCCAUUACCUCACUGAGGAAUUUUAGGACAAGUCAUUUAAGGUUCUUCAUGAGCACAUGCCUGUGCUGAGGCUCUUUACCACCCAGUCACUGUGAGGAUUAACAUUUUGCAAAGUACUAAAUUGUGGUUAAAAUAGAAGUAACCCAUAUAGAAAAAGCAGACCUUAUAACGGGGCACAAGUACAGUUUUUUGAGAAGCAUAUCAACUGCAUGAAGCAUUUCAGGCACAACCUUUUGUACAGCACUGCAAGAACAGACUCCAAUUCAAUAUCGUAACUUCUAAAGCUGUGCAAAAAAUUCUUUUCCCACAAGGCCUGAACAAACCCAUUUAUAGGCAAUCCUUGGAAGAGUCCGAAGUCGUGCAAUGUACUGGACCUCAUGGGUCUAGAGAGUGUGUGUCUACUGGGGUGCUUUCCUUCUAAAUACAGGAAAACAUAAUCAUGAUCCAUCUUCAGGACAGACUGAAGCAGAUUUCUCUGUCAUUUAUCACCUUCAGGAGAAGCUGCUUCCAUGUUAAACACUUUAUAGAGAAUAUGUAAAUCCUGCUGUUUAAAUGUGAAAACCUGACCAACAACUGUCACGUGCAUUUUUGUACAAGUCUGUACUGCUUACUGAAACACAAAAAUAAUAUCUUGUAGUCUA